Long non-coding RNA from Equus caballus (horse), 1831 nucleotides. The record is from Ensembl. NCBI's taxonomy places the organism in Eukaryota, Metazoa, Chordata, Mammalia, Perissodactyla, Equidae.
CGUUAGCGUACAAGUCUCUAUUUAGUUCAUGCUUUCAAUUCUUUUGAGUAUGUACCCAGGAGUGGAAUUUCUGGUUAUAGGGUAAUUUUAUGUUUAGCUUUCUGAGGAACUGUCAAGCUGCUUUCCACAGCAGUUGCACCAAUUUAUGUUCUCCCCAGCUUCCGGACUGCUGCCAUGCUGGGGGAGGGGUUGAGGAAAGGACAGUAUAUUCCAUGAAGAUGGAGAGUACGCCUGCUUUUCUCAAUAUUUAUUAGCAGCAUGUAACACAGAGUGUGGCAUAAUUAAUUGUUGACAAAUUAAUGGAUGAGUAAUUAAUUCUGGCAACGGAUUACUCUUCAGUGAUGGCUUUUCAAGAGAAAUGUCUCCCAGGGGGCAACUAGAUUAAUGGUGUUGACUUGGAUUGUUGAUGAAAUUCCUUGAGAAGAAUUGUUGGUUUGUGUGUGAACAGAAGUUUUCAUUUCACUUGAGUGAAUAUCCAGGAUUGAGACUGUUGAGUCACUGGAGCUCUCUGGAAGACCUCACACUGCUGUCCCGGACUCCAAGUGCCCCCGAGCCUCACGACUCUAUGCUUAGGGGGCUACCUCUUCGUUGCUGUGACUCGGUGGAAGUUGGGAGCAGUUUGUCUGCUCCUUGCAUCUCUUCAGGUGGCCAAGAGGAGAACUCCUACCCCAUCAGGACUGCUCCAGGUCUCUACCUGUCUCAGAGAUCACUCCGAAGCCUGCGGAGGGCAUAAACCCUUCCCAGGAACAUUAGGAACUAAGAAAAGGCCAUGUGAACACACAGCAAAAUGGGGGCCAUCUGCAAGACAGAAAGAGAGUUCUCACCAGAAACUAAACUCUACCAGACCUUGAUCUUGGACUUUCCAGCCUCCAGAACUGUGAUAAAAUCAAUUUCUUUUGUUUAAGACACCCUGUCUAUGGUAUUUUGUUAUGGCAGCUUGAGCUGACUAAUACAACCCCCAUCAAACAUCAACACUUUCAAAGGCAAAACAUCAUUUAUUCAAAGAAGAUGUUAUUUGACAAAAUUUUAAAAGAACACACAACAAACAGCAUAAAUUGACGUAGUGUGGAUAAACAUCAUUUGGCGUCCCUUGGCUUCUGAAAUCUAGAUACAAUUGUCUUCAAACCCUUCUUCCCGCCUUUUUGCCACGGGAAGACCACAGUCCACACGGAUGUCUGCACAUCCCUUGAAGGAGGAGGAAGACAUUUCCUCUAACCACUCUGGAUCCUUCUGGCCAGAAAACGAAUAAAAUUCACAUGAGACAGAAUAACAGAAGAAAAUUAAACAAAGCUUUAUAACAUGUAUACAUGGGAGAGACUCAGGCAAACUCAGCUACUUGCCAAAAUGGUAGAAGCUCUCACCUUGAACACCACCCUCAGGAAUAUGAAACUGGGGCUCAGAAAAUAGAGAAUACUGUCAGACACCUCAAACGAGAAUGAAGAGUUGCAAUUGCAGGAAGAAAUAUGACUGGUCCUUAUUUGAACUCUGGUCCAUUUCCUACCCAGAAGGAAUUAAGACUCUGCCCUGGUUUCUAUGUCAUCCUCCACCAUGAGAUGAAAAAUGAGAGCCCAUAAGGAGUCAGAAAACAAAGGUAAAAACUCUGUAGAAAACAAAACAAAAAACAGCAACCACCUGAAAACUCUGGAAAUAAACAAAAGAAGGCAGAACUGGAAAGGCGUCAAAACUUGGAGAAGUGACCUGCACAAAGGUGAGUGUUUCUGGUUUUGUUUGUAUGUUUUGUCUUGUUUCCUCUUAUUCUGCAGUUUUGUUCUAAGCACCAGCUUCAUGCAAGGGCUGAUGCAAUGGCACAAGUGGCUAAAAUCCAAGAAAG